RNAcentral lists this transfer RNA (64 nucleotides) under Oxylipeurus chiniri. Its description in RNAcentral is "tRNA-Cys". The record is from RNAcentral. Lineage: Eukaryota; Metazoa; Arthropoda; Insecta; Psocodea; Philopteridae.
AGUUGAGUAGUUAAAUAAAAAUAUUUUGUUGCAAGCAAAAAGUUGCGAAAUUUCGCUUCAACUU